This is a long non-coding RNA of Vespa velutina, 2210 nucleotides long. RefSeq lists it as uncharacterized. The transcript is spliced from 4 exons. Lineage: Eukaryota; Metazoa; Arthropoda; Insecta; Hymenoptera; Vespidae. The record is from RefSeq and is a predicted model, not a curated record.
UUCCUCCUUCAUCUCCACCACCACCACCACCACCACCACCACCUCUACCUCCACCACCACCAUUACCUUUUCCUCCCCCUACAGCAAUAGAGUAAACCUCUUGCCAGCCAUCGCUUUUCUCGGUUUGCCUCAACGUCAAGGUACGUCUAAGAUAUUUUAGAGAAGCCCGUAUUCUAUCUACCAUGGAAAGCCUGGUCGGCUUUUAAUUUUCCCUUUUGUGACUGUCGUUGACAGUACAUUGUAAUUUCCGGUUCCAACGUCGGUUCGCAACUAAUUGGAUGACCUGGGAAGGUCGGUUCAGGAUCUGUUUAGAACAUAGCACACGAGCGCACGUGCAGAAGUAACGAGCGACGUAGACACGGUUAGCAAAGAAGACCGAGAAAAGACUGAAAAAUCUAUUUUCCGUUCGUCGAUCUUAGUCGAUGGCUUCGUCGUCGCUGUUAAAUCGCAUAAGUUUUUCGUGAAUCGAUGAAACCCAAUCCAAUUCGCAUAAUCUUAUAUCGAUUAUGUUAUCUCUUCUUUCUUUGUCCCUAUCUCUCUCUCUCUCUCUCUCUCACUCUCUUUCUUUCUCUUUCUCUCUCCUUUUUUCUUUCUCUUCGUAACAAUGAAAAGUUUUGUUUUCAUCUUUUUUUCUUUCUUUCUUUCCUUCCUUCUUUCUCUCAUAACGCAGAUAUCCAUGUAGAAUUUACAUAUUUAUGAAAGAAAGAGAGAGAGAGAGAGAGAGAGAGGGAGAGAGAGAAGAAAUCUCGUCACAAUGUUUUCAUUGAGUCCAUACGAAACGAAUGGAAAACGUUUCGUUGAUGCUUAAGAAAUCACGAUUGGUUCUUUGAAUUUCUAAAAGUAAAAACUUCAAGGAAACAAAUGUCACGUUUAUUUUCUUCAGAUACAUAUUUUAUUAUCUCGACAGACGUACUCUCAUUACGAUACUUUAAUUAAUCAGAAAUGUCAAGAUUCGUUUCGGAAAGUUUAAUGCGAACUCGACCCUUUUUUUAUUUUUUCUCUAAUCAAUUGUAAUUAUCACGAUUAGAUUCGGUCAAUUGAGAUGAGCGAAAUGUAAUAGAUUAAAAAAUCAAAGCGUAGAAUUAAAUUCAUUCGUUAACGACAUAUAGAAAAAAAAGAAAAAAAAAAAAAAAAAAAAAAAAAGAAAAAAAAAAAAAGAAAAAAAGAACAGUAAGUCUAUUAAUCUCAAUUAUUUUACAAAAGAAGGAAAAAAUAAAGAACAUUAAAAAUCAAUGAUAUCAAAUAUUCAAGUUUAACAAAGGAUAAAUCUAAUAAAUUGACGUCGAUCAUGUUUAUCCAAAUGUUGGUGAUUUUGAUGAUGAAUUGAGUGGCUUGAUGUCAUGAAGUUGUUAAUAGUCGAACGAACGAACGAGUACUUACUUACUUACUUACUUACUUACUUACUUACUAACUUUAGAUAUAGAGGUAAACGUAUAGUGUUUGAUGAAUGAGUAAAGGGUUCGAACGAAAGCUAUUACUCUGAUAGACAAAGAGAAAGAGAUAAAGAGAUAGAAGCGAGGAUGGUCAAAACGAUAGACCCUCCGGAGGUGGGCCUUUGGAGAAGUUACAUAGAAAUCCACUCAACGUUUGUCGUGAUCGGCACUCGGAUUUCUGACAGAAUGUUGUCAAAAAAAAUACAAAAAAAAAAAAAAGAAAAAAAAAAAGAAAAAGAAAAAGAAAAAAAGGAAAAGCGAAUCACCGUUAAGUCGUUUACAGCUUUCAUUGGUUUUCACGUUUAGUAUUAACACGUUUAUCGUUUUUUUUUUUUUUUUUUGAUUUUCUAAUAAAAGAGAGGAUGAAUCCUCAUAAAAUUUCAACCACGAAAUAUCUUUCAUCUUUUACUUAAAAAUCUUUAUACACUUAUGUACAUAUAUUUAUAUAAUGUAUAUCUUCGAAAAUCGAUCCUUCGAAAAUUUCUAUCCGAAAGUGAUGCUUCAAUUUUUAUUUAUCUCAAGAGCCUCGUAGAUAUAUCCUUUUCCCCGAACGAAUUUGAAAUAUCGUAGAAAGGCCAAGCUUGCAUUUCCUUAAAUCCAUUUUAACGAAAUAUUUCAAGUAUGGUUAUAGAAGCGUACGCGGUAUCGACAGGUAAAUAACGCUUCCUUUUUCGCGUAACAUCGGAUUGCUCCUUUUAUCAAAAUGGAAAAUGUAUUUUUUUUUUUUUUUCUUUUUUUUUUGUUUUAUCGAACUGCAUACCUAUAUUACAUAGUUUA